CUCGAUCUGGAAGGUAGAGAGGCGCAUCCCGUUGCUGAACGCCAGCUGCCUCAGGACGUCCACGUCUGGAAGACCCCACUCUGGGUUCCUGCAGGAUGGCAUUACACAGAUUCCUGGUGCACUUUACCAAAUAGCGCAUAGGCAAUGGCGGAUUAAACAGGAGGAGGCUAUUGGACAGAUGGUGCGGGAGAUUAGGCCG
Molecule: long non-coding RNA, 199 nt
Organism: Anguilla anguilla (European eel)
Lineage: Eukaryota; Metazoa; Chordata; Actinopteri; Anguilliformes; Anguillidae
Exons: 3
Source: RefSeq, a predicted model, not a curated record